UCCCCGUUACCGGGGCAGUCUGAUUAGAAAAAUUCAACUAAUCACAAGGGUUGCGCUCGUUGAUGGACUUAACCAAACAUCUCACGACACGAGCUGACGACGGCCAUGCAACACCUGUCACCGGCCAACUAAAUGAAGCUUCCUUUCGGAAGUGGCACCGGGAUGUCAAACCUGGGUAAGGUUCUUCGCUUACCUUCGAAUUAAAGAACACGCUCCACCGCUUGUGCGGGUCCCCGUCAAUUCCUUUAUGUUUUAGUCUUGCGACCGUACUCCACAGGCGGGAUGCUUAACGCGUUAGCUUCGCUACUACGAGGGUCGAUACUCAUAACAGCUAGCAUCCAUCGUUUACGGCGUGGACUAA
Molecule: unclassified non-coding RNA, 361 nt
Filed under: uncultured bacterium
Lineage: Bacteria
Description: contains 16S-23S intergenic spacer region
Source: RNAcentral